Non-coding RNA from Ictidomys tridecemlineatus (thirteen-lined ground squirrel), 2174 nucleotides. NCBI's taxonomy places the organism in Eukaryota, Metazoa, Chordata, Mammalia, Rodentia, Sciuridae. The record is from RefSeq and is a predicted model, not a curated record.
UGGGCACAGGGCAGGCAGGCCCACACAGUGAUGUCCCACCCUGCCCACACUUCCAGUCUUUUGGGAAACAUGCAUCUGGCAAGUGUGCUGAGUGUGAGAACAGGAGGUGCUGGCCCAGAGAGAAGGAACGGCAUCUCUCAGAAAGUGAUUUGCCUCACCCACUGGGCCAGAGGAUCCAGUUGUCCUGUCUCCUCAAAACUGUUUGUGUUACCGGCUUCUGGGCUCUCUCUUGCCUGAGAUAGGUGAUAAAAUCUUUACUCCUGCUUAGCUACGAGCCAGAGGGAAACAGGAGCACCCACCUCUUUCCUGUGCCAGCCGAUCUGCUCAGCCUCAUCCCCAUCAGGCCAUCUCCAGUCCUGUGGUUGAAAGGAGACAGGUGCCCAGCAGCCACCAGCAGAGACAGCAACACAUGAAAGGGCUCCCAGUGACUCCCUUAAACGCUGUCCAGUUUUUGCCCUCCCUGAAUUAGUGUUAGGAUUUCCCUUUAUCCUUGAUCCUAUCCUCUGGUGAAGAUGGCCUUUAUCUAUGGCCCCAUGCUUGUACUUGUUCGCCUAACCCACUUACUAGGGACAAGAAGUGCAAAGGCACAGUUUGGCCACUAGAGGGAAGCAGUGGCUAGGAUUUAUCUAAGGAAUUGUGAGUUGCUUAACAGCAAGCUGGCUCCAUAGAGAUUGAUGCUGUCCAGGUCAGAGACCUGCAGGCUAUGUGGGAACACAAGACACACCGCUGCAUAGAGUCUGUAUGAAACCCUCUACCUCUGGAUUCCAUCAGGAUUGAUGCAAUCCCCAGAUGCCGGCCCCGAGCCACACCUUUGUCCUGUGUAUUUGGGCAAGGAUGUCUACAUUUUCACAGCUCCCUCUCAUAGUCAAGAUCCUCCUCAACUGCACUCUCACCAGCCUCUUCCUCCUGCCAGUAGAGAGGCUUCUUUGGGCUCUGAGACCUACAGGGGAUCCUUCCUAGACAGCCCCUUAGCUCCUUUCAGCUAUAUCUAUGAUUGGGAGCUUUUGACUCUAGGACCAUCCCCUACAGCCAAGGUAGGAGAAUUCCAGAGAAGGAGCCUUCUGAUUUUACGCCCUCCCAUCCACAACUUCCACACCAUCACUCUUCUUUCUAUAUUGAACCCUGUCUCAGUCUAUUUCUAUAAGUGAAGCCAUUGUUUAAAUCACCACUGCCUUUCAGUGGCUAUGCACUUUGACAAGAUAACAAAGAGUUGUCAAUGAAAAGCACAAUAAUAGUGGUUAUCUUGUUUGGAACAUGGCAUUAAAUCUUCAAUAUCUCAGGAUGAGUUUCAUUCAUUUUAAAUGGGAUUAGUAGCUGAUGCAUGCUCUCUGCUUGGCUACCUCCUCUUUCCCAGGUUAACCUGGGAUUUUAUGGUUGCUUUUUCCAUUUACACGGAACUCUUUACAAAUUAGAACAAAUAAAUAAAAUAAUAAAAUAAAAUAAAAUAAAGGAAAAUGGAACAGAGAGACUAUUUAGGACUAUUUAGGACACAGGAGAGUUUUCCUGUGUGUGUGGUCUGUGCCUUUUCAAUCAUAAGGGAUCACCUUUCUCAGCUCAGAUGUGGGCGGGGCUGUAUGUGGGGCCUGAGCUGAGAGAUCUCCGAGUACAGACAGUUGCCAUUGUUUGCAGUGUUCUGGACUCUAGGACAUCCAAGUAGCUCUGCCGGGGUGGAAGGAAGGUAUGUGAGGCACACAGUCUCAGCCAGAAUCCCACACCUGCUUUCAUGGUGACAGCUGAGCAGAGACAAAUGACACAUCUAUGAUCGAGAUGGGAUAGUCCCUGCAACAGGUGAAAUCCAACCUCCUGCCCUGGCCUCUGCUAGGAACUGCUUUUCUUCUGGCAAAGGGCAGGAAGCAGAGGUCCUUACCCACUGUGCUUCCAGAACAUACCCUUGUCUGUGUGAGGUUCCCACACUUCCACACAGCUGCUGCUACCAGCUCUGAGGUGGACUUAAAAAAAAAAUCUCAGCACAUGUAGUUUGAGAAAAGAAAAGUCACCUCACACAUCAGGGCACUGGAAAGGUACAGCAAGAAAUUCAUGAUUCAGUCCCUCAGCAUAAACCCACUGUAUUACCUCUGCCAUCAAUGCCAUUGAAUCUCCCAGGGCCUCUCUGACCUCAGACUCACUAGCAAAGGAGGAAGGACAUAUGAGACCCCAGUGUUUGCAGUCUUCCC